Molecule: long non-coding RNA, 1665 nt
Organism: Junco hyemalis (dark-eyed junco)
Lineage: Eukaryota; Metazoa; Chordata; Aves; Passeriformes; Passerellidae
Source: Ensembl
GGCUGGCCCGCAGCCAGGCUGCGUUCCCAUGCUGCUCUGCCCGUUCCUGCCCAGCAGCUCCUCCAGAACGCUCCUCACAGGAUUGCUGCAGCCUGGGAGGGCAGAGCUGCUCCUCUGGGCGCUCUGCUCUGCGGAGGCCGUGUCCUCUCAGACCUGCUGCACUCUGAAUAUAAACCCCCCUUUGUUGGGCACAGGGUGACUUGGCUGAGCCACAUGAUCAGUCAGGUGACAAAAUUGGGCACCAAAGCGGAGCAGAAUGAGCAGCUGGGUGAGGGCAGGAGCUGCUGAUCUCGCCUCUUGACAGGCUGUGUUACUCCUCAGGGAAAAAUGAGUGCCUGGCUCUGUCCUCUGCUGUGCAGCUUAACCAUGGUGUGCUUAACAGGUAUUGCUUUAGGCCAGACAACCAGCACUGGGGUUCCCAUUGGAUCUACUCCAGCACCUCCCAGUGCAACCAGCACUGGGGUUCCCAGUACAACCAGCACUGGGGUUCCCAUUGGAUCCACCCCAGCACCUCCCAGUGCAGCCCCUGCUCCAGCCUCUGCUCCCCCAGCUGCUGCUGCAACACUCUCAGCUGGACUGACAGCAACCACUGCAAGCCCUGCUGCAUCCACAGCAGAUCCAUCUGCUGAUCCAAGCACAAAAACCCCUGCCCAGACUCUGCCCUCCACCACGGGGACUGUGCCCACCUCUCCGACUUCAGCACUGGCAGCCACAUCCAGCAGUGUCCCAGCGUCCCCUGCAGGAGUGACCCCAUCCCCUGGGCUCCCAUCCUCAGCUCUGCCCCCCAGCACCCCCCAGCCCUCCAACUGCAGCACAGAGAACGUGACAGCCUGUGUCCCCUGCCCCCCAGGGACAGCCCCCACGCAAGGCAUCCUGAGCUGCUCGUGCUGCCCGGGGGGAGCGUGCAGCGAGCCCGGUGCCUGCAGCCCCUGUGCCCCAGGGCAGCACCAGCCCCAGGGGGGGCAGCGCUCCUGCCUGCCCUGCCCUCAGGGCUCCUACACCAGCCUCCCAAGGAGCUCUGUGUGCCUUCCCUGCCCACCAGGACAUUUUGCAAAUGAGUCUGGGGCUGCAGCCUGCAGGGCCUGUGAGCGAGGCUAUUAUAGCUCCAAGCAAAAUGCAGCUUUUUGUCUGCCUUGCCAGCCAGGAUCAUUCUGCAACACCAGCGGCUGCUCCGGCUGCCGGCCCUGCCCUGGGGGACAGGAGGCGCCUCGGGAGGCGGCAGAGACGUGUGAGACCUGCCUGGCAGGUACAUUCAAAGGUGCCAAUGACAGCAGAUGCAAGGCCUGCAGGACAGGGGAGUACCAACUACAGCGGGGCAAGGAGAGCUGUGAGCUGUGCCCAGAAAAUCACUACUGCCCUAGCCCGGAUGUGAAGCCAGUGAAGUGCCCCCCUGAUGCCUUCUGCCCGCGGGGCAGCGCGGAGCCCACCUACUGCAUGGAGCUGUUCCUGUACAAGGCAGGGGACUCCUGCCAGCUGACCCCUGCCACCGUCAUUGUCCUGGCCACCUUCUCAGCAGGUGGAAUCCUUGUUGUGUUUCUGAUCAUCCUGAGGAGCCGACAGGAGCACGGCAGGAGCUCCCUGAAGUCGCCGCUGCUGCCCCGGGGCUCAGGGCUGGGCUCCUACGGGGGCACGGAGCACACGGAGCCCGUCUAUGCGGGCUGGUAG